UACGUAGGGAGCAAGCGUUGUCCGGAAUCAUUGGGCGUAAAGCGCGCGUAGGUGGCCUCAUAAGUCCGCUGUGAAAGUCAAAGGCUCAACCUUUGAAAGCCGGUGGAUACUGUGGGGCUAGAGUACGGAAGAGGCGAGUGGAAUUCCUGGUGUAGCGGUGGAAUGCGCAGAUAUCAGGAGGAACACCAAUAGCGAAGGCAGCUCGCUGGGACGUUACUGACACUGAGGCGCGAAAGCGUGGGGAGCGAACCGG
Molecule: ribosomal RNA, 253 nt
Filed under: uncultured bacterium
Lineage: Bacteria
Description: partial 16S ribosomal RNA
Rfam family: Bacterial small subunit ribosomal RNA
Source: RNAcentral